ACCCCACUGCUAUCGGGAUAGGACUAAGACAUGCUAGUUGAGCGCUUCCAGCCAACACGGGAGCGCAGCGCACAGCUCAGUAACACGUGGCUAAUCUGCCCUUGGGACCGGAACACCCCCGGGAAACUGGGGCUAAUUCUCGAUAGGUGAAGAACUCUGGAAUGAGUCUUCGCCAAAAAGACGUUUACGUUAUGCUCGUAGGCGUCGCCCAAGGAUGAGGCCGCGACCGAUCAGGUUGUUGGUGAGGUAAUGGCUCACCAAGCCUUUUACCGGUGCGGGCCGUGAGAGCGGGAGCCCGGAGAUGGGCACUGAGACAAGGGCCCAGGCCCUACGGGGCGCAGCAGUCGCGAAAACUUUGCAAUACACGAAAGUGUGACAGGGCUAUCCCGAGUGCCAUCCGCUGAGGAAGGCUUUUACCCAGUCUAGAACGCUGGGGGAAUAAGGAGAGGGCAAGUCUGGUGUCAGCCGCCGCGGUAAUACCAGCUCUCCGAGUGGUGUGGAUGUUUAUUGGGCCUAAAGCAUCCGUAGCUGGCUAAGUUAGUCCCUUGUUAAAUCCACCGAAUUAAUCGUUGGAUUGCGGGGGAUACUGCUUGGCUAGGGGACGAGAGAGGCAGACGGUAUUUCCGGGGUAGGGGUGAAAUCCUAUAAUCCCGGGAAGACCACCAGUGGCGAAGGCUGUCUGCUAGAACGCGCCCGACGGUGAGGGAUGAAAGCUGGGGGAGCGAACCGGAUUAGAUACCCGGGUAGUCCCAGCUGUAAACGAUGCAGGCUAGGUGUUUGGACGGCCACGUGCCGUUCUAGUGCCGCAGGGAAGCUGUUAAGCCUGCCGCCUGGGGAGUACGAUCGCAAGAUUGAAACUUAAAGGAAUUGGCGGGGGAGCACCACAAGGGGUGAAGCUUGCGGUUU
Molecule: ribosomal RNA, 906 nt
Filed under: uncultured archaeon
Lineage: Archaea
Description: bacterial SSU rRNA
Rfam family: Archaeal small subunit ribosomal RNA
Source: RNAcentral